CCAGAGACCGGCGCACGGGUGCGUAACGCGUAUGCAAUCUACCUUUCACAGAGGGAUAGCCCAGAGAAAUUUGGAUUAAUACCUCAUAGUAUAUUGGUCUCGCAUGAGAUUGUUAUUAAAGAUUUAUCGGUGAAAGAUGAGCAUGCGUCCCAUUAGUUAGUUGGUAAGGUAACGGCUUACCAAGACUACGAUGGGUAGGGGUCCUGAGAGGGAGAUCCCCCACACUGGUACUGAGACACGGACCAGACUCCUACGGGAGGCAGCAGUGAGGAAUAUUGGACAAUGGGCGCAAGCCUGAUCCAGCCAUGCCGCGUGCAGGAUGACGGUCCUAUGGAUUGUAAACUGCUUUUAUACGAGAAGAAACACUGGUUCGUGAACCAGCUUGACGGUAUCGUAAGAAUAAGGAUCGGCUAACUCCGUGCCAGCAGCCGCGGUAAUACGGAGGAUCCAAGCGUUAUCCGGAAUCAUUGGGUUUAAAGGGUCCGUAGGCGGUCAGAUAAGUCAGUGGUGAAAGCCCAUCGCUCAACGGUGGAACGGCCAUUGAUACUGUCUGACUUGAAUUAUUAGGAAGUAACUAGAAUAUGUAGUGUAGCGGUGAA
Molecule: ribosomal RNA, 599 nt
Filed under: Flavobacterium frigidarium
Lineage: Bacteria; Pseudomonadati; Bacteroidota; Flavobacteriia; Flavobacteriales; Flavobacteriaceae
Description: bacterial SSU rRNA
Rfam family: Bacterial small subunit ribosomal RNA
Source: RNAcentral